GUGGCCUCUGAAGCUCUCAGAGGGAUCUGUGCAGCCUCAUCACCUCAAUUGUGAGCACACUCCGUGGGGCUGGGUUCAGUUCAGCCUGGCACAAAGAAUUCUGCAAGCUCUCUCUCGUGAGACGAUCCCAUUUCUUGCUGCCAGCCAGGCUUCCCUCAGCCCCGUGUAACCGCUGCCUCCACUCCGCACGUGAUGUUUGCAAGGAACAGAGCAGGACUGUGAAUGUAGCAUUUACACGAAUAUUUUGUACAUCAUCUUUAAGAGCAGUUUCCCUGUUAAAGACACAGACAAGGUUUCCUGCCAAGUUUUCUCUUGAAACCCAGAUGACACAGAACCAAAUGGGCUGGAUCCUCUCUGUAGCAGCCAUGCCGAAGUGCACAAUUUUGGGUUGUGCUUGCUAGCAGUGAGCAUGGCUCUCUAACACAGCUGUUGCAAAUGCUCCCUCUUUUCCAGCACUCAGUGGGACUGACAAAGAACUGGGAGCGAGUCAAUUUUAAACAGUGCUACACAAUAAGAUGCAACUUUUCCAAUCAAGUUUUGAAGUUGAACAAGAUGAAAACCAAAAAAGCUUUCAGUGGUGUAAUGACAUGAUAGCGUCAAUUGCGUGCGCCUGGAGGGAGCAGAAGAGCACACACCGGACAUAAAUGCGCACUUAACUCAGGAAACUCAUAGACGUGAAGGUAUGAAGUAGUGCCGUGUACUUUGAAAUCUAAUAAAGAGGCCUAAUUUUUAGAUCUCACUGAGAGCUGCUGGCUGCACAGAACCCUUGCCAAUCAAAUCGACCUUUUUGCCUUGCUUCCCAAGUAAAGGUGGGAGCUGGCUUUGACAAUCAUCAUCCGAGUUUUUCCAGGUUGAUUUCAAUGGGAGUUUGGCUGAAGGCUUUGAAGAAGAGAAGGUUUCCCCUCUACUGUUGAAAAUUGUGGUUGCAGCUGAUACUGCAUUGAGGUACAAUAUGAUGAUUUCAACGGCAAAUAGUACUUAGAAGAAAUUAAAUCAUCAUUUAUCCACAGCUUUCACUCUCUGCUGCCCAGCAGAUCUCUCUUGAAUCUUGAGUGUCUUUGUGUUGGUUUAUUUUAUUUCCACAAAAGUUCAGGCAGGAAUUUUUCCUCCCCAAGU
Long non-coding RNA from Gallus gallus (chicken), 1116 nucleotides. Lineage: Eukaryota; Metazoa; Chordata; Aves; Galliformes; Phasianidae. The record is from Ensembl.